GUUUUCAGUUUCUGUCUCUUAAAAUGAAAUCAGGGGCUGGGGGCGGAGCUCGGUGGUAGAGUGCUCCCUUAGCAUGUGCAGGGCCCUGAGUUUGAUUCCCAGCAGAGAAAGAAGCAGGAAAAAAAAAAAAGGAAUAAAGAGCAAAUUGGAGGUGUACCUGAGAAGGGUCACAUCUCAGGAACAGUGGAACUGGCUUCUUUUCAUGCGUGUGUAAACUCCAGGGCACUGAGCAAGGUCUAACCAGGGAUCUAGAUUUGAACCUCCAUUCUACCACUGACUAGUUGUGUGACCUUGACCUUGGCCUUAACCUCUCCAGGCUUCAUCUCCCUUCUCUGGGAAACAGAGCCAGUUCCUAACUUACAGAAAUAAAAGAGAGCCCGGAUGGAUGUGAGGGUUCAGACAGUACAUGGCUCACAUCAAGCUUCAUUAGCCACUGUUCCUAAUAUUCAGGUCACGCAUCCACGUGGGUGUCUCUUUACAAAUAAGGAUGCUUUAGAGUAAAGCAGACCGAAACAGGGCUUCGUGUUCUCUGCUACUCUGAUUUCCUAGCUUCUUCCUGGAAAUGGACUCCAAGAACUUUUAGAAAUAGUUCAUAAACAAGGGAGAUUUUAAUCUGCAAAACCAGAUGGACUUUCUCUCUUUCUGAAGCAGCUGGAAGCAAACCUGCUCCCUCGGUAGCUCUACCUUCCUGACCAAUUUCCAACCGCAGUUCCUGUUCUGAACCCGGAUCUGCAAAUAAGAGCAUUCAUUGGAAGGGAGGUUCAGGGCCUUUGGGAUUUCAUCAGCUGCCAUCUCUCCCAGGAGACUCGGUGACACCCGUCAAGCCAGUGACCAAGGCCAGAAGGCAAGCGGUUCAAGGCCUACCGCCAGGCAACUUCCUUUUGAGUUUUGAAGCCAAGCAGUACACAUCUAAAGAAAUGCCAAGGAGGAAAUAUGGAUUUAUUGUUGCCAAGCCAAUUGGGCUGCAGAGAGAAGAAUAAUACUGAAAGGUCCGCCUUCUGGUUGUGCAAAGCGAAGAGGAGGACAGGGGCAGGGAGCAAGCUUGGGUUCCAUCUCAGUCUCCUACCCCAAGAGAUGUGACAGCCGCCUGGAGCCACCGACCCACAGUGAUGGUGCAAUCCAAACCCCUCCCCUGGAAUCCUGCAGUUGCAGCCACAGGUCACAGAAGGGAAGAGAUGGGAGCCUGGAGCACUUAAACUUCUUUCAAACAAGAUAAAACUUGUUUCCUUUGCUGCUUUUAAACUUGGAAAUAAAGAAUAGUUACCAGCAAUAGAGUGUGUGCUUCUUAAAAAGACAAAACCCAGCACAGAGCCAUUUGAAGCUCUGGUCCUUGCCAAGUGGAGGAGAGAGACAGAGUGACGUCUUCGCAGUUCUCAGAUCCAGGAACAGUGUGACAUGUCCCUACUAGAAUCUGCCUCUUCACGAAAGCCUGGGAAUGGAUAAAACGCGACUCCAAGCAAAAGCGCGGGACACGUGAGCCUUUAACAGUGAAUGUCAAAAUCAGGGCCCUGGGCUGGGCACUGAGGCAUACGCCUGUCCUCCCAGCUACUGAGAGGUUAAGGAGGAGCACUGCUCUAACCCAGGAGCCUGGGGAAAGUCUGGGCAACGCAGUGAGAGCUUGUCUCAAGACGACGCGGUGGCACACGCCUGUCAUCCCCACUCCACUCAGGAGGCUGAGGCAGGAGGAUCGCGGGUUCAAGGCCAGCCUCAGCAACAGCAAAGCACGAAGCCACUCAGUGAGACCGUGACUCUAAAUAAAACACAGAACAGGGCUGGGAUGGGGCUCAGUGGCCGAGGGCCCUGGGUUCAAUGUCUUGUACCAAAAGAAAAAAAUGAAAGAAAGAAAAAUGGGCUGGAAGGAAGCUGGGGAGAAUGCUUGCCUAGCAGGCGCUAAUCCCUAGCACCAAAAACCAACCAGACAAGUAAAUCAUGGCUUCCAGAAGACGGAAUUCCUGAACUCUCUUCCCAUUCUUCUCCUGAACCAGUUUAAAAAUCUCUUUCAUCCAUCAUCAGGGAGAUGCAGAAACGAGUCAGCCUGAAAGUCCUCCCAGUGUCACACGCAGUCACAGAUGGUGAGCCUGCUCCCACCAGCGCCCAGCGGCAAAGCCAUCGCGAGCUGCCUGGGAACUGGACAGGCACAGAUUGGAGGGAUGUCAGUGUGGAGCCCCGAGUCUCCACUGGGGGACCUCUGGGCUCCCUGGGAAGCUCGGCAGUGUCUGAAGAUGAUCUCAGUUAUCACAACUGGGGUGGGGAGCGUGCCGCUGGAAUGGGGUGGGUAGAGGCCCCAGGAUGUUGCUCAUUACCUUAUGUGACAGAGCUGGGGAUGUGGCUCGGUGGCAGAGCACUUGCCUGGCCUGCAGGAAACCCUGAGUUGAUCCCCAGCACUGAAAAAUAAAAGAGAGAGAGAGAGAGAGAAUUGUGCAGCCCCACAUGUCAGUGAUGCUGAGAUAGAGAAACUUUUAAAAGAAAGAAGAAACAGGGGGCUGGGGAUGUGGCUCAAGCGGAAGCGCGCUCGCCUGGCAUGCGUGUGGCCCGGGUUCGAUCCUCAGCACCACAUACAAACAAAGAUGUUGUGUCUGUCGAGAACUAACUAACUAAAUAAAUAAAUAAGUAUUUUUAAAAAAAAAGAAAGAAGAAACAGGAUUUGCCAGGAAAAAUAAGGAGGAAAGCACAUUCCAGGAAAAUAGGAGGACUGCAGGGUGGGACCGAGAAACUGGAAAGGUGACCCUGGCCUUGAGCUCGUUGUGUCUUCCCUUUGAACCUCAGUUUUCCUGAGCAGUGACCCUGUGACACUAAAUGACUCAUAUGUUUUCCUGGUAUUAGAAAAAAGUGCUACCGAUAAAAAGUUAUGUCUCUGGGCCCCACCCCCUUCCUGUUGCCCUGCUUGUCCCUCAGCACUGCUGGUAACCUACUCAUGAGAACAAUGUGGCAGGUAAAAGUGCUGGUCAGCCAGGCACGGAGGCCCUCGCCUGUCAUCUUAGUGGCUCAUGAGGCUGAGGCAGGAGGAUCGCAAGUUCAAAGCCAGCCUCAGCAAAAGUGAGGCCCUAAGCAUCUCAGUGAGACCCUGUCUCUAAAUAAAACACAAAAUAGGGCUGGGGAUGGGGCUCCGUGGUCAAGGGCCCCUGAGUUCAAUCCUGGUACCAAAAAAAAAAAUACUGGUAACAGGAACCCCAAUACUGUCCAGGCAAGUGGUGCACACCUAAAAUCCCAGCAACUGGCUCAGUAGUAGACCACCCCAGGGAGCUAACACACACACACACACACACACACACGCACACACCCCAGAUGCCAUGGUAUUUAAAUUUUUUACAUAACUUGAGGUCUGGGAAUGGGCAG
Long non-coding RNA from Marmota monax (woodchuck), 3336 nucleotides. RefSeq lists it as uncharacterized. The record is from RefSeq and is a predicted model, not a curated record. Lineage: Eukaryota; Metazoa; Chordata; Mammalia; Rodentia; Sciuridae. The transcript has 4 exons.